UCUCCGUAGGUGAACCUGCGGAGGGAUCAUUACAGAGUUCAUGCCCUACCGGGUAGAUCUCCCACCCUAUGUUAUUAUUACUUUGUUGCUUUUGCUGGCCGUUAGGCUCCGGCCCGACUACCGGCCCCGGCUGGUAAGCCCCCGCCAGAGGACCCCAAACCCUGAAUAUUAGUGUCGUCUGAGUACUAUAUACUAGUUAAAACUUUCAACAACGGAUCUCUUGGUUCUG
Molecule: unclassified non-coding RNA, 229 nt
Filed under: plant metagenome
Description: partial contains small subunit ribosomal RNA, internal transcribed spacer 1, and 5.8S ribosomal RNA
Source: RNAcentral